GAAAGUAGAGAAGGGCGCAUGGCGGAUGCCUUGGCUCUCGGAGGCGAAGAAGGACGUGAUAAGCUGCGAAAAGCUGCGGGGAGGUGCAAAUAACCCUUGAUCCGCGGAUCUCCGAAUGGGACAACCCGAUACCUUGAAGAGGUAUCAUCCAUCUUGUGAUGGAGGCUAACGCAGGGAACUGAAACAUCUUAGUACCUGCAGGAAAAGAAAAUAAGAAUGAUUCCCCCAGUAGUGGCGAGCGAACGGGGAAGAGCCCAAACCCCGGAUGUUACGGCAUCCGGGGGGUUGUAGGACCGCGACGUUGCAAGCAAUCUCGUGAAUGGAACUGUUUGGAAAAUCAGACCGUAGACGGUGAGAGUCCGGUACAUGAAGCGAGACGAAGCAUAGCGGUAUCCUGAGUAGCGCGGGACACGAGGAAUCCUGCGUGAAUCCGCCGGGACCAUCCGGCAAGGCUAAAUACUCCCGAGAGACCGAUAGCGAACCAGUACCGUGAGGGAAAGGUGAAAAGCACUUCGAACAGAAGAGUGAAAGAGUACCUGAAACCGUGCGCCUACAAGCGGUCGGAGCUUCUUUAUGAAGUGACGGCGUGCCUUUUGCAUAAUGAACCUACGAGUUACCGUGUCUGGCAAGGUUAAGGGGCAUGAGUCCCGGAGCCGAAGCGAAAGCGAGUCUGAAUAGGGCGUCGAGUCAGAUGCGGUAGACGCGAAACCAAGUGAUCUACCCUUGGCCAGGAUGAAGUCUGGGUAACACCAGAUGGAGGUCCGCACCAAUAAGCGUUGAAAAGCUUCUGGAUGAGCUGAGGGUAGGAGUGAAAGGCCAAUCAAACUUGGAGAUAGCUCGUACUCCCCGAAAUGCAUUUAGGUGCAGCCUCAUGAAUUACUGCUGCGAGGUAGAGCGACUGAUAAGAUGCGAGGGCUUCACCGCCUAUCAAGUCUUGACAAACUCCGAAUGCGCAUCAGUUCGAUCAUGGGAGUGAGGGCAUGGGUGCUAAGGUCCGUGCCCGAGAGGAGAACAAUCCUGACCACCGGCUAAGGCCCCGAAAUGACAGCUAAGUUAAACUAACGAAGUCUGAUUGCUAAGACAGCUAGGAUGUUGGCUUGGAAGCAGCCAUUCAUUUAAAGAGUGCGUAACAGCUCACUAGUCGAGGAAUCGGGCGUGGAUAAUAAUCGGGUAUGAAGUUGUCUGCCGAAGCCGUGGGAUAUGCAAGUAUCGGUAGGGGAGCAUUCCAUUCGGCGUUGAAGGCGCACCGUGAGGUGUUCUGGAGCGUAUGGAAAAGCAAAUGUAGGUAUAAGUAACGAUAAAGGGGGCGGGAAACCCCCUCGCCGAAAGACUAAGGUUUCCUGAUCAACGCUAAUCGGAUCAGGGUAAGUCGGGACCUAAGGCUCAGCCGAACGGCGAGGCCGAUGGCAGAAACGGUCAAGAUUCCGUUACUACCUUACAGGGUGACGUGGAGACGCAGAAGUGGCACUGCCGCGGGCUGACGGAAUAGCCCGUUGAAGAGUGUAGGCGUAGAUUCCCGCAGGCAAAUCCGUGGGGAGAGCCGAUCUUGAGAGUACACCAAUUCCUCCGGGAUGCGGUGACAGCGCAGGUAAGCAGACUGCCGAGAAAAUCCGCUAAACAUAACCUGUAAGGUACCCGUACCGCAAACGGACACACGUAGUCGGGUUGAAUAUACUAAGGCGCUUGAGUGAAUCACGGUUAAGGAACUAGGCAAACUGACCCUGUAACUUCGGGAUAAAGGGUCCCUCCUCGCAAGAGAGGGCGCAGAGAAUAGGUCCAGGCAACUGUUUAACAAAAACACAGGGCUGUGCGAAUAUGAAAGUAGAAGUAUACAGCCUGACACCUGCCCGGUGCUGGAAGGUUAAGAGGAGACGUCAUCGCAAGAGAAGCGUUGAAUUGAAGCCCCAGUAAACGGCGGCCGUAACUAUAACGGUCCUAAGGUAGCGAAAUUCCUUGUCGGGUAAGUUCCGACCUGCACGAAUGGUGUAAUGAUCCGGACGCUGUCUCAACCGUGAGCUCAGUGAAAUUGUAGUAUCGGUGAAGAUGCCGAUUACCCGCGAUGGGACGAAAAGACCCCGUGAACCUUUACUAUAGCUUAGCAUUGGAUUUGGGCACGCGAUGUGUAGGAUAGGUCGGAGGCUUUGAGACGGGCACGCCAGUGUCCGUGGAGCCGCUGUUGAAAUACGACCCUUCGUUUGUUUGAGUUCUAACUCCCGGGUGGAGGACAUUGCUUGGUGGGUAGUUUGACUGGGGUGGUCGCCUCCAAAAGCGUAACGGAGGCUUCUAAAGGUGCCCUCAGGACGAUCGGUAACCGUCCGCAGAGUGUAAUGGCAUAAGGGCGCUUGACUGGGAGACAGACAGGUCGAGCAGGUAGGAAACUAGAGCAUAGUGAUCCGGUGUUUCCGAAUGGAAGGGACAUCGCUCAAAGGAUAAAAGGUACUCCGGGGAUAACAGGCUGAUCCCUCCCAAGAGCUCAUAUCGACGGAGUGGUUUGGCACCUCGAUGUCGGCUCGUCACAUCCUGGGGCUGGAGAAGGUCCCAAGGGUUGGGCUGUUCGCCCAUUAAAGUGGCACGCGAGCUGGGUUCAGAACGUCGUGAGACAGUUCGGUCUCUAUCUAUCGUGGGCGUAUGAAAUUUGCGUGGCUCUGACACUAGUACGAGAGGACCGUGUUGGACCGACCUCUGGUUUACCGGUUGUGCCGCCAGGUGCAUCGCCGGGUAUCCAAGUCGGGAUCGGAUAAGCGCUGAAAGCAUCUAAGUGCGAAGCCGGCCACAAGAUUAGAUUUCUCAGGGUCGUCAAAGACGAUGACGUCGAUAGGAUGCAGGUGUAAAGGUGGAGACACCAAAGCCGAGCAUUACUAAUUGCCCGUAUUCUUUCCUUG
RNAcentral lists this ribosomal RNA (2882 nucleotides) under Bacteroides ilei. Its description in RNAcentral is "bacterial LSU rRNA". It matches the Rfam family "Bacterial large subunit ribosomal RNA". The record is from RNAcentral. Lineage: Bacteria; Pseudomonadati; Bacteroidota; Bacteroidia; Bacteroidales; Bacteroidaceae.